Long non-coding RNA from Platichthys flesus (European flounder), 553 nucleotides. RefSeq lists it as uncharacterized. The transcript is spliced from 3 exons. The record is from RefSeq and is a predicted model, not a curated record. NCBI's taxonomy places the organism in Eukaryota, Metazoa, Chordata, Actinopteri, Pleuronectiformes, Pleuronectidae.
CACACAAAGGGAACAGAUAAAGUCCGAUCGCAGCACCUGAAGCUACUCUAUUCAAUUCCAUUCUUUCAUUUCCAUUUUCCAUCUCUCCAUUUUUCAAUUCAACCUUGCACCAUCACAUCAACAAGGAGCUGAAUGAAGUUAUGAGGAUUAUCUUCACUUUCUGCUACGGGCGCUAACCACAGGCCCCCUUCCCUUUUCAAAAGGAGAAAGAUAGAUGUCGCAGCUGGAGAAAGACGCUGGUUUAUCUGCAGAGGCUGUGUCCUUGGGAAACGAGAUAAAUGACAAGCGGCUAAUGAAGUGCGGUGAGAAAGGAGCCGUCUCUUUAGCUCCUCUCCUUUUCUGUGCGUGUGUAAAAGUCAGAUUAGCGACUGUGGAAACCUGCGAGGACAACAAGCCUCACACAACGGCAACAUUUCCACAAACAAACACAGAUGCAAGCUUUGGAUUACGGGGGAGCGGAGGGGAGCUCGUCUAUCCUGAAACAGAUACCAGAUAUUAAGGGGGAGCUCUGAAACAUCGACCAGUUUUACAGACUCUGAUUCUCCCUCCAAUG